This is a long non-coding RNA of Oncorhynchus keta (chum salmon), 367 nucleotides long. RefSeq lists it as uncharacterized. The record is from RefSeq and is a predicted model, not a curated record. The transcript is spliced from 3 exons. Lineage: Eukaryota; Metazoa; Chordata; Actinopteri; Salmoniformes; Salmonidae.
CAUCUAAAGUGUAUGGACUUCCUGCUGUCUUCUUCUUCUUCAGGUCAUCUAAAGUGUUUGGACUUCCUGCUGUCUUCUACUACAGGUCAUCUAAAGUGUAUGGACUUCCUGCUCUCUUCUUCUACAGGUCAUCUAAAGUGUAUGGACUUCCUGCUCUCUUCUUCUACAGGUCAUCUAAAGUGUAUGGACUUCCUGCUCUCUUCUUCUACAGGUCAUCUAAAGUGUAUGGACUUCCUGCUCUCUUCUUCUACAGGUCAUCUAAAGUGUAUGGACUUCCUGCUCUCUUCUACUACAGGUCAUCUAAAGUGUAUGGACUUCCUGCUGUUGUCUUCUUCUUCAGGUCAUCUAAAGUGUUUGGACUUCCUGC